RNAcentral lists this ribosomal RNA (484 nucleotides) under uncultured bacterium. Its description in RNAcentral is "partial 16S ribosomal RNA". It matches the Rfam family "Bacterial small subunit ribosomal RNA", at positions 29 to 507 of the family's 1533-position model. The record is from RNAcentral.
AUUGAACGCUGGCGGCAUGCUUUACACAUGCAAGUCGAACGGCAGCGCGGGCUUCGGCCUGGCGGCGAGUGGCGAACGGGUGAGUAAUACAUCGGAACGUGCCCAGUAGUGGGGGAUAGCUCGGCGAAAGCCGGAUUAAUACCGCAUACGACCUGAGGGUGAAAGCGGGGGAUCUUCGGACCUCGCGCUAUUGGAGCGGCCGAUGGCAGAUUAGCUAGUUGGUGGGGUAAAGGCCUACCAAGGCGACGAUCUGUAGCUGGUCUGAGAGGACGACCAGCCACACUGGGACUGAGACACGGCCGAGACUCCUACGGGAGGCAGCAGUGGGGAAUUUUGGACAAGGGGCGAAAGCCUGAUCCAGCAAUGCCGCGUGUGUGAUGAAGGCCUUCGGGUUGUAAAGCACUUUUGGCGGGAACGAAAAGGACUGUGCCAAUACCACGGUUCGAUGACGGUACCCGCAGAAUAAGCACCGGCUAACUACGUG